Molecule: ribosomal RNA, 437 nt
Filed under: Microbacterium sp.
Lineage: Bacteria; Bacillati; Actinomycetota; Actinomycetes; Micrococcales; Microbacteriaceae
Description: bacterial SSU rRNA
Rfam family: Bacterial small subunit ribosomal RNA
Source: RNAcentral
GGCAAGGGGGGGUGCUUACCAUGCAGUCGACGAUGAAGCUGGGGCUUGCUCUGGUGGAUUAGUGGCGAACGGGUGAGUAACACGUGAGUAACCUGCCCCUGACUCUGGGAUAAGCGCUGGAAACGGCGUCUAAUACCGGAUAUGCACGGUAACCGCAUGGUUUGUCGUGGGAAAGAUUUAUCGGUUGGGGAUGGACUCGCGGCCUAUCAGCUUGUUGGUGAGGUAAUGGCUCACCAAGGCGUCGACGGGUAGCCGGCCUGAGAGGGUGACCGGCCACACUGGGACUGAGACACGGCCCAGACUCCUACGGGAGGCAGCAGUGGGGAAUAUUGCACAAUGGGCGCAAGCCUGAUGCAGCAACGCCGCGUGAGGGAUGACGGCCUUCGGGUUGUAAACCUCUUUUAGCAGGGAAGAAAGCUUCGGUUGAGGGUACCUGC